Molecule: non-coding RNA, 790 nt
Filed under: Clostera anastomosis
Lineage: Eukaryota; Metazoa; Arthropoda; Insecta; Lepidoptera; Notodontidae
Source: RNAcentral
AAAUAAAUUUUUAUAGUUUAAGAAAUUUAUUAUAAAUUUAUUUUACAUAUAAAUUUUGGUAAAAUUUAUUUUAUUUAAAUAAUAAAAUUUUAUUUAUUGUAGUAAUUUAUAUUAAAAAAUUAAGUAAUUAAGAUUUAGUAAUAUAAAAAUUAAUAACAAAUUUUGUGCCAGCAGUUGCGGUUAUACAAAAAUUAAAAUAAAUUUUUUUGGUAAUUAAUAAAUAUAUAUAUAUAUAUAUAAAAAAAUUUAUAUUAAAAAUUAAAUUAUUAAGUGAAAUUUUAAUUUAAUAAAAAAUUAACUAAUAUUAUAUGAUUUAAUAAAUUUUAUAAAAAACUAGGAUUAGAUACCCUAUUAUAAAAAUUUAAAUUUAAUAAUACUAAAAUAUUAAAUAAUUAUUUAUUGAAACUUAAAUAAUUUGGCGGUAUUUUAGUUCAUUUAGAGGAAUCUGUUUAAUAAUUGAUAAUCCACGAAUAAAUUUACUUAAUUUAAAAUUUUAUAUAUCGUUGUUAAAAAAAUAUUUUUUAAUAAAAAUAAUAUUUAAAAAUUUAUAUAAUAAAUUAAAUCAGAUCAAGAUGUAGAUUAUAAUUAAGAAUAUAAUGGAUUACAAUAAAAUAAUUUAAAUGAAUAUAUAUUUGUAAAAAUAGAUUGAAGGUGGAUUUAACUGUAAUUUUAUUUAAUUUAAUAAAAUGAUUUUUAAUUAAAAUAUGUACAUAUUGCCCGUCGCUUUCAUAUUUUAAAUUGAAAUAAGUCGUAACAAAGUAGAGGUACUGGAAAGUGUUUCUAGAAAGAA